AGAUAUAAAUAGAUAAAGCCUGAUUCUCCUUCUUAUGUGAGUUUUUCUGUUGGUCAAUUUUUGAUUUGAUCUUUUCCCAUUGUUUGUUGGAACAUUCUGUGUGGAUUGGAUAUGAAUGAGUACAUUAAAGCUGAAGACUACAAAGGCCCAUGGUUUGUUUGGCAACUGCAUUUUUUACUUAUUUUCUCAUCAUAGGCUAGUGUUAAAAUUGCGAGUUGGUUUUUGGGAUUUUAUGUAUUGGUAAUUGGUUUGCUUUAAUUUUCUGCAUUUGGAUGAGAUACAUACGGGCUAGGGCUAUGUGUAUUCUUAUUGGUUUGGUCAACGGUGAGACAACAAUAUAUCACCAAAUGUGCCCACGAUUAGUAAACUUCCUCACCAUUCGGGGACAGCAUUUAUGCCAAUGCUAUGAACGACUCAUAGAAUUCCAGUUCUAGCUUUUUAUGCUUAUUUUAUUACUUUUCUGGAAAACUUCAGCCUUCUGUUUUUAUUUAUUUAUUUUGAAUUCUG
This 507-nucleotide unclassified non-coding RNA is filed under the name Hevea brasiliensis (rubber tree). Lineage: Eukaryota; Viridiplantae; Streptophyta; Magnoliopsida; Malpighiales; Euphorbiaceae. The record is from RNAcentral.